UACGGGGGGAGCAAGCGUUGUUCGGAUUUACUGGGCGUAAAGGGCGCGUAGGCGGUCGUGACAAGUCACUUGUGAAAUCUCCGGGCUUAACUCGGAACGGUCAAGUGAUACUGUCGGACUAGAGUACAGAAGGGGCAACUGGAAUUCUCGGUGUAGCGGUGAAAUGCGUAGAUAUCGAGAGGAACACCUGCGGCGAAGGCGGGUUGCUGGGCUGAUACUGACGCUGAGGCGCGAAAGCAUGGGGAGCGAACAGG
This 254-nucleotide ribosomal RNA is filed under the name uncultured bacterium. RNAcentral describes it as "partial 16S ribosomal RNA". It matches the Rfam family "Bacterial small subunit ribosomal RNA", at positions 524 to 776 of the family's 1533-position model. The record is from RNAcentral.